Molecule: ribosomal RNA, 256 nt
Filed under: uncultured bacterium
Lineage: Bacteria
Description: partial 16S ribosomal RNA
Rfam family: Bacterial small subunit ribosomal RNA
Source: RNAcentral
UACAGAGGGUGCGAGCGUUGUCCGGAAUCACUGGGCGUAAAGGGCGCGUAGGUGGUGGCUUAAGCGUGCGGUGAAAGCUCGGGGCUCAACUCCGAGUCGGCCGUGCGAACUGGGCUCACUGGAGCAUAGUAGAGGCAGGUGGAAUUCCGGGUGUAGCGGUGGAAUGCGUAGAGAUCCGGAAGAACACCGGUGGCGAAGGCGGCCUGCUGGGGCUAUGGCUGACACUGAGGCGCGACAGCGUGGGGAGCAAACGGGG